Molecule: ribosomal RNA, 274 nt
Filed under: uncultured bacterium
Lineage: Bacteria
Description: partial 16S ribosomal RNA
Rfam family: Bacterial small subunit ribosomal RNA
Source: RNAcentral
AUACGGAGGGUCCAAGCGUUAUCCGGAAUCAUUGGGUUUAAAGGGUCCGCAGGCGGUCAAUUAAGUCAGAGGUGAAAGCCCAUCGCUCAACGAUGGAACUGCCUUUGAUACUGGUUGACUUGAGUUAUACGGAAGUAGAUAGAAUAAGUAGUGUAGCGGUGAAAUGCACAGAUAUUACUUAGAAUACCGAUUGCGAAGGCAGUCUACUACGUAUAUACUGACGCUGAGGGACGAAAGCGUGGGGAGCGAACAGCAUUAGAUACCCUAGUAGUCC